RNAcentral lists this small RNA (304 nucleotides) under Pongo abelii (Sumatran orangutan). Its description in RNAcentral is "processed transcript". The record is from RNAcentral. Lineage: Eukaryota; Metazoa; Chordata; Mammalia; Primates; Hominidae.
CAGGAGACAGAUCAGGGCCCACCUCCCUGCCAGGGAGGGAGCAAAGAUGGAGCGGCGGGAGGAGCAGCCGGGGGCUGCAGGGGCUGGAGCAGCACCAGCCUUGGACUUCACUGUGGAGAACGUGGAGAAGGAUCCAGAGUGGCCAGCACCUGCUCAGUCCUGUGCUGUCCUGCAGGCGCUGCACCAGCUCUACUAUGAUCCCAACAUUGAGAACAAGAACCUGGCUCAGAAGUGGCUGAUGCAGGCCCAGGUCUCCCCACAGGCCUGGCACUUCAGCUGGCAGCUACUGCAGCCUGACAAAGUA